AUCACUUUGAUGAUCAAAACAAUACUUUUGUCAUUAUGAGAUUUUAGACAUGAAAAAACUUUGGGGACUUGAACUAAGGAGAU
Small nucleolar RNA from Cryptomeria japonica (Japanese cedar), 83 nucleotides. RefSeq annotates it as small nucleolar RNA Z159/U59. The record is from RefSeq and is a predicted model, not a curated record. Lineage: Eukaryota; Viridiplantae; Streptophyta; Pinopsida; Cupressales; Cupressaceae. The transcript has a single exon.